Molecule: long non-coding RNA, 1240 nt
Filed under: Salmo salar (Atlantic salmon)
Lineage: Eukaryota; Metazoa; Chordata; Actinopteri; Salmoniformes; Salmonidae
Description: lncRNA (ENSSSAG00000105105.1)
Source: RNAcentral
UUUCUCCUUUGCCUAGAUAUUCCAUCCACCUGACAGGUGUGGCAUAUCAAGAAGCUGAUUAAACAGCAUGAUCAUUACACAGGUGCACCUUGUGCUGGGGACAAUAAAAAGCCACCCUAAAAUGUGCAGUUUUGUCACACAACACCACAGAUGUCUCAAGUUUUGAGGAAGAGCGAAAUUGGUAUUAUGACUGCAGGAAUGUCCACCAGAGCUGUUGCCAGCUGUGAACCUCCACAUCCAGAUUUUUCUCCUUCGGGAUCGAUUGAGUACAGCCACCCAGACAGCUGAUGAAACUGCCUGAUUGGUGGAGUGCUGCAGAGAUGGUUGUCCUUCUGGAAGGUUCUCCCAUCUCCACAGAGGAACUCUGGAGCUCUAUGAACACACAUCCUCCGCUGCACCUUGGUCUCAUUACGACAAUAGCCAUUACAGAAUCACCCACCAAAAAACGGACCAAGCAGCGGAGGAAGGAGAAGCACCAGGAGAGGAGCUAUCGGGAAUCGUGGACAUGGGAGGAAUUACUGGACAGUAAAGGACCAUGGGCUCAGGCUGGGGAGUAUCGCCGCCCACAGUGGGAGAUCGAGGCGGCGAUAGCUGAGAGGCACUGGUAUGAGGCAAGGGAGCGCAACAGGCACGAGAGCAGCCCCAAAAAAACACGGGGAGUGUGGCAGAGUCAGGUUGGAGACCUGAGCCAACUCCCCGUGCUUACAGGAGGCAGCGCAGUACUGGUCAGGCACCGUGUUAUGCGGUAAAGCGCACGGUGUCCCCAGUACGCGUAGAUAGCCUGGAGCGCUACAUGCCAGCCCCCCGCAAGUGCCAUGCGAGAGUGGGCAUCGAGCCAGGUCGGAGUGUUCCAGCUCAGCGCAUCUGGUCUCCGGUGCGCUGUCUCAGUUCAGGCUAUCCUGCACCGGCGCUGCGCACUGUGUCUCCGGGGCGCUGGGAGGGCACAGUUCGGCCUAUGCCUGCGCACCGCCCGUGCCGGGCAAAAGUGGGUAUUCAGCCUGGAGUUUGGGUGGCAAGCCUACGCACCAGAACUCCAGUGCUCCCCCACAGCCCGGUUUAUCCUGUGCCUCCUCCUCGGACCAGGCCUCCAGUGGGUCUCUCCAGCCUGGUUUAUCCUGUGCCUCCUCCCAGGACCAGGCCUCCAGUGGGUCUCUCCAGCCUGGUCUAUCCUGUGCCUCCUCCCAGGACCAGGCCUCCAGGGGGUCUCUCCAGCCUGGUUUAUCCUGUGCCUCCUCCCAGG